RNAcentral lists this ribosomal RNA (471 nucleotides) under uncultured bacterium. Its description in RNAcentral is "partial 16S ribosomal RNA". It matches the Rfam family "Bacterial small subunit ribosomal RNA", at positions 28 to 506 of the family's 1533-position model. The record is from RNAcentral.
GACGAACGCUGGCGGCGUGCUUAACACAUGCAAGUCGAACGAUGAACCCGGAGCUUGCCCUGGGGGAUUAGUGGCGAACGGGUGAGUAACACGCGAGUAACCUGCCCUUGACUCUGGGAUAAGCGUUGGAAACGACGUCUAAUACCGGAUAGGACCUUGGAUCGCAUGAUCUGGGGUGGAAAGUUUCUUCGGUCUGGGAUGGACUCGCGGCCUAUCAGCUUGUUGGUGGGGUAAUGGCUCACCAAGGCGUCGACGGGUAGCCGGCCUGAGAGGGUGACCGGCCACGCUGGGACUGAGACACGGCCCAGACUCCUGCGGGAGGCAGCAGUGGGGAAUAUUGCACAAUGGGCGAAAGCCUGAUGCAGCAACGCCGCGUGCGGGAUGACGGCCUUCGGGUUGUAAACAGCUUUUAGUAGGGAAGAAGGGCUUCGGCUUGACGGUACCUGCAGAAAAAGGACCGGCUAACUACGU